ACACGGGGGGCGCAAGCGUUAUUCGGAAUUAUUGGGCGUAAAGGGCGCGUAGGCGGUCUUGUCGGUCAGAUGUGAAAGCCCAGGGCUCAACCCUGGACGUUCAUUUGAAACAGCAAGUCUUGAGUACGGGAGAGGAAAGCGGAAUUCCUGGUGUAGAGGUGAAAUUCGUAGAUAUCAGGAGGAACACCGAUGGCGAAGGCAGCUUUCUGGACCGAUACUGACGCCGAGGCGCGAAGGCGUGGGUAGCGAACAGGAUUAGAUACCCCGGUAGUCC
RNAcentral lists this ribosomal RNA (274 nucleotides) under uncultured bacterium. RNAcentral describes it as "partial 16S ribosomal RNA". It matches the Rfam family "Bacterial small subunit ribosomal RNA", at positions 523 to 796 of the family's 1533-position model. The record is from RNAcentral.